UCUAAGUCACUAUUGGGUGGUUUGAGUGCUGCUUUCUCAGAUUCUUCGAUGGCUUUGAACAUUACAGCCGAACCUUUUAUCAGCCGGAAUGUAAAAAAGGGGAAACAUUCUCAUAGUACAUACCGCCAUGGAGAAAGAUGCAUAUGAGAGUCCAACAGUUCUGCAAACGCUCCGGUUCCCAAAAGGACUCUUGUCAUCGUCGCAGAUUGCCGGGACAAGUAUGACGGGAAGGUUUCCCAUGUUUCCUUAACCACCACGAGAAAACCAGUGAGGGAUUUAUAUACCUGAAGAACAAGCAGCGAUGACCAGACCUUCGAGAUAAGGUACAGGUUUCAGAAGCUUAACAACAAUCCAUCCAAGAAUUCCUCCUAUCAGGAAGCUACAACGACCCGUGGAAGAGAG
Tarenaya hassleriana is the source of this 402-nucleotide long non-coding RNA. RefSeq lists it as uncharacterized. The record is from RefSeq and is a predicted model, not a curated record. The transcript is spliced from 4 exons. Lineage: Eukaryota; Viridiplantae; Streptophyta; Magnoliopsida; Brassicales; Cleomaceae.